Molecule: long non-coding RNA, 313 nt
Filed under: Elaeis guineensis (African oil palm)
Lineage: Eukaryota; Viridiplantae; Streptophyta; Magnoliopsida; Arecales; Arecaceae
Description: long non-coding RNA (EGUI_LNC066176)
Source: RNAcentral
AGAGGGAGAAUGAGAGGAAAGAAAAAAUCCUCUUUUUUUUUUCUUUUCAUGGUUCUUUUGGGCAAAAAUGGGGGACCGUGUGGUCCCUCCCUUGUUUAGCUGAUCAGAAGCGUAGCCGGUGCGGUGGUGGCUGGUGGUAGGAGGGGCUGUGAUGGUGCAGUUCGAAAGAAGCCAGAUCGACGGUCAGCGGUGACCAUCGGCACUAGAAAACCAAAGAAAAGAGGGCAGAAAUAGGGGACUUUUUCCUAAUAAAAUCUGACAAAUUCGGUUGCCGAUGAUCGUGCACACAAGCAAGGAAAGGAAGGGGGAGAAA